AUGACAUUUAAUUUUGUAUUUUCAUAUAGAUGGCCACUUUAAAAUGUAGUAUGGUAGGUUGAACUCAUUGAAGUUAAUUAAAACACUUUUCACAAGAUUUUUUUUUUGUCUUAAUCUGCAGGAAUAAAUGAGAAAUAAUAAGAACUCUACUAGUCCUACAAAUGAACUGUAUGGCUUGUUGGGCCCUUUUAAUAAAUUCUGAAGCAAAAUGCUAAAAGGAAAAGUUAAGGGCCCAUUCUGAUAACAGAUGAAGGUUUCUGCAUCUCUGUGUGUGUAUUAGUGGUAUUAAAGAAUGAUAUUGCCAUUUUUCUAUUUUGUGUAAAAAAUGAAAGACAACAUCCUUUAGAAGUAGUUGUAAUCAUCCAAAUGUAAUACU
This 376-nucleotide long non-coding RNA is filed under the name Bos taurus (domestic cattle). Its description in RNAcentral is "long non-coding RNA NONBTAT024190". Lineage: Eukaryota; Metazoa; Chordata; Mammalia; Artiodactyla; Bovidae. The record is from RNAcentral.